Molecule: non-coding RNA, 287 nt
Organism: Pelobates cultripes (western spadefoot toad)
Lineage: Eukaryota; Metazoa; Chordata; Amphibia; Anura; Pelobatidae
Source: the annotation of a GenBank genome assembly
GCUACAGUUAGGGCUUCCCAAGUCACGGCCACACGUUUUGAAUCUCUUACUGUCACCGAGAGGCCAACAUCCUGCCACCUUGUUCUGGUGGCCACAAAACCCCCUUGGCCCAAAUCAUAGGUAGAGCCUCUCACCGCCACUUGGCAAUAGCAGGGCCUCAUCUGUCACUUGGUCCUAGGUUAAUUCUUCGCCUCGGCACUAGCUAGCAGGCCAGUUCUCCGGAGGUCUCAUCCCCACCUCUACGACAACUUACUUAUCCAAAUCAUUACUUCUUUUCAGAAUGUCAC